GAUCCAAUUAUACCAAUAAAGUCUCCAAUUUGGUCGAGUGAACAUCUAAAUCAGACAAGGGAGUAGGGACACACAAAAUGCCCAGACUGGAAAUCACUUUGGUUGACGUUUUGAGUUUGCUAAGGAAAUUAAAUAGUGAGGCUGCGGGGAUUCGAAAUUGGAAAACAAAAAUCAGAGAUUAGAAACAAACGGCCAAGAUCAUUUGGAUUUUAAUAAGAACGGAGGGUGCGGAUUUUGCCACGUGGAUUCGAUUUUAAAAGAUGGUUAGAGGAGAGAGAAAAGAUCAACGAGUUUCUGGUGAACCUUUCCCUCCCUUUUUCUGCUUCUUCUUCGAUCUCCUUCCUUUCUCUUCGUUCUCAAUCUCAUCUCUUUUCUCUUCAAAAUGAAGGUUAAUCAACAAUGGCGAUUUAUUUCUGUUUUAGUUAGAAUUAUCGUUUUCUAAUUUUGUAAUCGAGAACAAUUUGAAUUCUAUAAAUCCAGAAAAUUCUCAAAA
Solanum pennellii is the source of this 493-nucleotide long non-coding RNA. RefSeq lists it as uncharacterized. The record is from RefSeq and is a predicted model, not a curated record. The transcript is spliced from 2 exons. Lineage: Eukaryota; Viridiplantae; Streptophyta; Magnoliopsida; Solanales; Solanaceae.